CAAUAUAUGCAAUGAACUAUGAG
This 23-nucleotide non-coding RNA is filed under the name Arabidopsis thaliana (thale cress). The record is from RNAcentral. Lineage: Eukaryota; Viridiplantae; Streptophyta; Magnoliopsida; Brassicales; Brassicaceae.